UGUGACAUACCUUAAUGUUGCCUCGGCGGAUCAGCCCGCGCCCCGUAAAACGGGACGGCCCGCCAGAGGACCCAAACUCUAAUGUUUCUUAUUGUAACUUCUGAGUAAAACAAACAAAUAAAUCAAAACUUUCAACAACGGAUCUCUUGGUUCUGGCAUCGAUGAAGAACGCAGCAAAAUGCGAUAAGUAAUGUGAAUUGCAGAAUUCAGUGAAUCAUCGAAUCUUUGAACGCACAUUGCGCCCGCUGGUAUUCCGGCGGGCAUGCCUGUUCGAGCGUCAUUUCAACCCUCAAGCCCCCGGGUUUGGUGUUGGGGAUCGGCUCUGCCCUUCUGGGCGGUGCCGCCCCCGAAAUACAUUGGCGGUCUCGCUGCAGCCUCCAUUGCGUAGUAGCUAACACCUCGCAACUGGAACGCGGCGCGGCCAUGCCGUAAAACCCCAACUUCUGAAUGUUGACCUCGGAUCAGGUAGGAAUACCCGCUGAACUUAAGCAUAUCAUAA
Molecule: ribosomal RNA, 499 nt
Filed under: Fusarium tricinctum
Lineage: Eukaryota; Fungi; Ascomycota; Sordariomycetes; Hypocreales; Nectriaceae
Description: eukaryotic LSU rRNA
Rfam family: 5.8S ribosomal RNA (bases 127-280)
Source: RNAcentral